GCCGGGGUGGCGGAAUUGGCAGACGCAGGCGACUCAAAAUCGCCCGGGAGUGAUCCCUUGCGGGUUCGAGUCCCGCCCUCGGCA
This 84-nucleotide transfer RNA is filed under the name Longimicrobiales bacterium. RNAcentral's name for it is "tRNA-Leu". It matches the Rfam family "tRNA". From Rfam's summary of the family: Transfer RNA (tRNA) molecules are approximately 80 nucleotides in length. Their secondary structure includes four short double-helical elements and three loops (D, anti-codon, and T loops). The record is from RNAcentral. Lineage: Bacteria; Pseudomonadati; Gemmatimonadota; Longimicrobiia; Longimicrobiales.